AUUUUUUUUUUCCUAAUUUUUUUGAGAAAUUCACUGCCCAAAGUAUUAGGAAGGUUGAAACAUAUAAAAAAACCGGAGCACACAAAAAGUUGAUUUGGUUGUGCCAGACACAGCCGUCUAAAACCAUGCGUUGGGUGUGUCAGACAACCUCGCAACCACCCCAACCCCCACCCCCACUGGGUUGGGAACAGUCCUCUAUGACGCUGAUCACCCCAGAUCGUCUCGACGCUUCGUGUCAUGCGCAUCAAUAAAAUAGAACACCUUCAAGCGGACUC
This 275-nucleotide long non-coding RNA is filed under the name Elaeis guineensis (African oil palm). RNAcentral describes it as "long non-coding RNA (EGUI_LNC026812)". Lineage: Eukaryota; Viridiplantae; Streptophyta; Magnoliopsida; Arecales; Arecaceae. The record is from RNAcentral.